This is a regulatory RNA element of Clostridium sp. CAG:62, 146 nucleotides long. It matches the Rfam family "Ribosomal protein L10 leader". From Rfam's summary of the family: This family is a putative r-protein leader autoregulatory structure found in B. subtilis and other low-GC Gram-positive bacteria. It is located in the 5' untranslated regions of mRNAs encoding ribosomal proteins L10 and L12 (rplJ-rplL). A Rho-independent transcription terminator structure that is probably involved in regulation is included at the 3' end. Lineage: Bacteria; Bacillati; Bacillota; Clostridia; Eubacteriales; Clostridiaceae. The record is from Rfam.
GACUAAAGUUUAUAACUGCCGUAGACAGCAAGUAUAGCUUUGCUAUGUAAGUGCGGAUGCCGCUUGCCGAGGAAGAUUGUGAAUGCAAUCAUAGUGAGAUUAUAUCCUCUGUCUGCGUGCGCAGGCAGAGGAUUUUUUAUAAAUGU